Molecule: long non-coding RNA, 255 nt
Organism: Camponotus floridanus (Florida carpenter ant)
Lineage: Eukaryota; Metazoa; Arthropoda; Insecta; Hymenoptera; Formicidae
Exons: 3
Source: RefSeq, a predicted model, not a curated record
CGUUGAGUAUCUGGCUCUGCAUAUGUCGAUGGGGUUUCGGUUACAACUUGAAAGACAGAGAGAUCGUUCAUUGCCUGGUGAUCUACUUUAUCAUCAUCACGCUGCUCAACGUGAUAUUUUUAGGGCACAUAAGAUUCUUUGGUCAUUAUCCUCCGGAAAUGAGGGAUAAUUAAUCAAGUAUAUCGUUCGUUAAGGCACAUCUUUUUCAAGUGAUUUGAAACUUUGCAUCAACAAAGAGAGAAUAAUUUAUAUCGG